GAUGAAGAACGCAGUGAAAUGCGAUAAGUAAUGUGAAUUGCAGAAUUCAGUGAAUCAUCGAAUCUUUGAACGCACAUUGCGCCCGCCAGUAUUCUGGCGGGCAUGCCUGUUCGAGCGUCAUUUCAACCAUCAAGCCCCAGGCUUGUGUUGGGGGCCUGCAGCUGCUGCAGCCCCCUAAAAGCAGUGGCGGACUCGCUGUCAUACCGAGCGCAGUAGUUACAUCUCGCUCUGGGCAUGGCGGCGGGCACCUGCCGUAAAACACUCUUUCUAAGGUUGACCUCGGAUCAGGUAGGAAUACCCGCUGAACUUAAGCAUAUCAAUAAGCGGAGGA
RNAcentral lists this unclassified non-coding RNA (331 nucleotides) under soil metagenome. RNAcentral's name for it is "partial contains 5.8S ribosomal RNA, internal transcribed spacer 2, and large subunit ribosomal RNA". The stretch from base 1 to 120 matches the Rfam family "5.8S ribosomal RNA", at positions 35 to 154 of the family's 154-position model. The record is from RNAcentral.